CCAAAUGAUGACCGGAUUGCUUUUCUUUGCAUUUUUCUUGCUUUUCCUUACCAAUAGUCGCUCACACCGCUUCCAAACGUAUAACCUACAAAAUGAACACAAAAUGCAUGAAAAGUAACUAAGACACAUGAAUAUAAACAACUAAUUCAAGUAAAAGAUAUCGGAUAAGUAGGUAUAAAACCUACUUAUCACCCUUCCCAUCAUUAACUUUCCAUCUUGAUUCCCGGCAUACUGGACACUCUUCUAAAUCCUUAUUUUCUUGCCAAAAAGGGCACAAUCAUACCUUCAACAAAAAUGAGACAAAUUAACUAUAUAUGAAUGGGUGUUAUAAUUAAGGACUUUUUGAUAUGUUAUUUUACUUACUUGCAUGCGUGUAUUGGAAGGCAUCCAAGGCCAAUUUCACGUAACAUUAUUUUUGCCUCGUAGUAUGAUUUUGGCAAAUUC
This 444-nucleotide long non-coding RNA is filed under the name Panax ginseng (ginseng). Its description in RNAcentral is "long non-coding RNA (PGIN_LNC008750)". Lineage: Eukaryota; Viridiplantae; Streptophyta; Magnoliopsida; Apiales; Araliaceae. The record is from RNAcentral.